AAGACAAAACCAUUCAAGAUGCGGUUUGAUAUGAAUUUUACAAUUGUAGUCUGUGUGACUUUGAUAAUUGUAACGUCUCUUGUUACGGGAUCACCUAUUCAUUUUCACAUUGCAGGACUCCUUGUUUAAUUUUGAAAAUUUUAACUGAAAUAUUUAAUUCCAGUUAAAGUAAAAGAAAGGUGACGGGAAACCAUCCAUAUGAACGCACACAGAAUUCAUCCAUCUUGUAAAAGAAAUUAAUUUGACAUGACUCAAAUAUCAUUGUAAUAAUAACAAAUAAUUGUCUUUAUGAUGCGCUUAUCUUGGUUGUUCGUUACUUCGUUUUAUCUUCAAUGGCAUGUUCAUCAGUUAAUGGCGAGAGAAAAUCAAUAAAAAAAUUACAUUAUCA
Molecule: long non-coding RNA, 388 nt
Organism: Magallana angulata
Lineage: Eukaryota; Metazoa; Mollusca; Bivalvia; Ostreida; Ostreidae
Exons: 2
Source: RefSeq, a predicted model, not a curated record